Molecule: RNase P RNA, 371 nt
Filed under: Saprospiraceae bacterium
Lineage: Bacteria; Pseudomonadati; Bacteroidota; Saprospiria; Saprospirales; Saprospiraceae
Description: RNase P RNA component class A
Rfam family: Bacterial RNase P class A
About the family: Ribonuclease P (RNase P) is a ubiquitous endoribonuclease, found in archaea, bacteria and eukarya as well as chloroplasts and mitochondria. Its best characterised activity is the generation of mature 5'-ends of tRNAs by cleaving the 5'-leader elements of precursor-tRNAs.
Source: RNAcentral
GCAGUAAGUGGCUCUAUCGCACCAUUGGUGAGGAAAGUCCGGACAACGUAGGGUGCCACACUACCUAACGGGUAGGGUUUGGUGAGAGCCAGAUACAGAGAGUGUCACAGAAAAUAACCGCCACAUCUAUGAUGAGGUAAGGGUGAAAAUGUGGGGUAAGAGCCCACGAUGCUUCAUAGUAAUAUGGGGGGUGGAUAAACCUUGUGGGUUGAAAUGCCAUGUAUACCGGCCCUAAAUGAAAAUUUGGGAGUAGUUACCCGCUAUUUGCCGGGGGGUAGGCAGCUAGAACCUUUCAGUGAUGAUAGGUCAAGAUAAAUGAUAGAGAUUUUCAAAUGGAAAUACAGAAUCCGGCUUAUAAGCUUACUGCAUAU